RNAcentral lists this unclassified non-coding RNA (391 nucleotides) under Hevea brasiliensis (rubber tree). Lineage: Eukaryota; Viridiplantae; Streptophyta; Magnoliopsida; Malpighiales; Euphorbiaceae. The record is from RNAcentral.
GCGGCUAUCUCAGACUGGAUAAGAAGUAAGAACUCUGAAGGACUGGAAAGGCUAAAAAUGUCCAUUGUCCAGCACCCUCUUACUCGUGAUUGUCGUGAUUGCAGUUCAUACUUUGUCCUACAAUCGGUGUUAUAGUUGUCUGCAAGGUCCUUUUGCCUGAUGAUUGAAGGUUCAUGGUCUGAAGAAAUUAUAUUUGGCCCAAGAAUUCUUACAAUCUUAGAUCAUACGGCCAGUCUCAUAUAGAUCUGCUAUCAAGUCUGUUAAACAAAUAUGAGGAUUAAUAAGUGAAUAGAGUGGACUUAUGAUAAUUUGCAGGAUGAGUGGUUUUAAUUAUUCCUGACUCCGAAUCUUUCUCUUGUCAACAGGUAAAAAACAUAUAUUCAUGGCGAGA